RNAcentral lists this ribosomal RNA (253 nucleotides) under uncultured bacterium. RNAcentral describes it as "partial 16S ribosomal RNA". It matches the Rfam family "Bacterial small subunit ribosomal RNA", at positions 524 to 776 of the family's 1533-position model. The record is from RNAcentral.
UACGGGGGGGGCAAGCGUUGUUCGGAAUUACUGGGCGUAAAGGGCUCGUAGGCGGCCCGCUAAGUCGAACGUGAAAUCCCCGGGCUCAACCCGGGAACUGCGUCCGAUACUGGCAGGCUUGAAUCCGGGAGAGGGAUGCGGAAUUCCAGGUGUAGCGGUGAAAUGCGUAGAUAUCUGGAGGAACACCGGUGGCGAAGGCGGCAUCCUGGACCGGUAUUGACGCUGAGGCGCGAAAGCCAGGGGAGCAAACGGG